Molecule: long non-coding RNA, 4276 nt
Filed under: Triticum aestivum (bread wheat)
Lineage: Eukaryota; Viridiplantae; Streptophyta; Magnoliopsida; Poales; Poaceae
Description: long non-coding RNA (TAES_LNC013023)
Source: RNAcentral
AUACAACAAAUUUCCUUGAAUAUUGCAACCAAUUCAUGUACCAAUGUGCGAGGUAUAAUCUAGUUUCUUGAAACGGCGCACCUACUUUCUGAUAAAAGAUUAAAGCAAGUGAGAUAUAUGGGGCACAAAUAUUUUAGUGGUAGACAUGGUCCAUCCUCUUACUCUGGUGGUUGGCUGUCGGUGCCUCUUCCCGCUUUGUCGCCGGUUCGCCGCCGGAGGAAGCACAAUAUGCAGCAUAGACAUUGAUCUGUCAUGGUCACUACCUUUCUCUCCCUUCUCUCGUUUGCCUGGUCGGUGAUGCUCGCCCCCUCUCUCUCUCUCUCUCUUUGCUCACCACCAAUCAUGUAUCCGACACCGGUAGAUUGACCCAGUGGAAUCAUGCACGAGACAACCGUGGAUAAGAGCAAGAACCUCGUUCGCUUGAACCAUAGCAGACGAGGAGGAUUUGGGGAUCACUUGGUUAUCCUUUUGUUGCUUGAUGGAAUCUGUUUUGUUGAACUUGCAGCAGCUUAUUCAAUACAGAGCAAAUGAAAUUACGCCUACAAGUAGCAAAGGUCAUUUAUGAUCACACUACCCAAAUAAAUAGAUAAUAAAUUUUGCCACCACAUGCUUGAGGAGCUUCUUCUUUUGCUUGCUUAAGCCUUGCAAACUUACAGUAAUAUGAUUGGAGACUUCAAGUGAGUGGCAAGAGAUAGCAAAUAAAUUAUAGAAUAAUGUCAAAUCUUGGCAUAGCUCAUGUGAGGUUUGUGAUUAACUGAAACACUUCAAGCAUGUAUACCUCAAAAAAUUUAGUACAAUGGCAAGGUAGAGACAUGUUGACACUUGAUGCAUGAUUCAUCAUAAUAUUGCAAUGAGUUCAGAACACACGAGAUAAAACUACAUGUGAGUUCACAUCUCACAUAAGUGUAAAUUGUAGCCUCCUCUUUGGAGUCGUCUUCUUUGCUAAAGCUGCAGUGCGUAUCCUCUCUAGACUAGUUCUGGUUUGUGAUGAAAUACUUCUCCGAGAAAGAAAGCAAGGAGGAUGCACAUAUACAUGCUAUCAAAUUUAUAUAAGUAGUUUGUUUCUCAUUUUUUUACAUUGUCGAACAUGUAACUAUUUGUUGUUUACCUUCUAGCGAAUAUGCCUGGAUUGUCGUGUAGUAUUUGUUCUCUACCUAGCUUUUGUGGGCUGCUAGAUUCACCUAUCAUAGCUUUUGUAUUGCUCUUUAUAGGUUUCCUAUUCUUGAAAUUAAAGAAAACAAGGUUUAUUUUUUGGCAUGAGGUGAUAAUUUAAGCUUUGAAUGAAAAAAAUGACAAUUGCCUUCUCUUGGUUCUAAGUCAGCACUUGUAACUAGCUUGCCUAUGACCCUUUGUGCCACAUUUCUUGCAAGUCACUAGGCCUCUAAUCAUUUUCUUCACCUUGCAUUUGUGGGAGUAGUGCUACCAUUCUUGUAACCUUUCUUCAUGUGGCCACCUUCAAGGCAAUCCUUUAAUCCUCAAUUUUUCUUUAUCUUCUUUUAUUUCUUCUCUUAAGUAUUGUCGCCACAACAAAUGGAAGCUCCACCCGCGACCACUAUGAUUUUUCUCUCCCAUAAGAGCCUUGAAAUUAUCCACAGAGUAGUACUAAUGCACAAAACUGUUCAAGGCAUUUUUGUGAUGUCACAAUUUCCAAGGCAUAUUGACGUUGUUUACCACCGUGCUUUCAUUCAAGACAAUUACAAGUCUUCUGAUUAGCUUUGCAAUAUGCAUUUUAAAAUUCUUUAUAUUGUCUGAAACCUCUACACUCCAAUCAAUAGAGUUCACAACUUUCAAGUGCGUAAACCUCUAGUAUUUCCCUCAACUGAACCAUAAUACUUGGUAGUAUCCGUCUAGAUGGUAGUCUUUCUCAAAUCCUUCUCCUCUUCCUCCACAAACCCUUGAUAAUCUCUCUAAGAUUGUGAGCUAGUUCAGCAACAUGUAAGUCCUCAAAGUCUCUGCUCAAGUUGUAGAAUACUCUCGCUAUAUUAUUAGUGAUGUAGUCACACUUGAUGCCCGGAAUGAAGACAUACCUUAUCGAUUUGAGAGUGAUAUCGACUUAAUCAAAGUCAUACCUCAUUUGAUUCUCCAAUACUUGUGCCCAUAAGUUACGUGAACACGUCUUUCAUAUAAGCCAUUGCGGUGGAAAACGUCCUUCUGAAACCGCUGGACCUCUUUGCAAAAUUAUUCAUAAGGUGAAAAACAUUCCCCUUGUUCAACAUUAUAAAAUAUAUUCUUCAUUGCAACAUUUUUAAGUUGAUUCAUAAACCAAGUUCGAUUGUCUUCAGUAUCAGAAGCUAUGAACCAUAGGCAAGUGGAUACAUCCAAUUGUGGCCAUCAAUUAGCCUCAGCUACAAAAAAUCCAACUCUACUUGCAAAGGCUUAGAGAAUGCAGUGAAGUAUUUCCCAAUGCUGAAUAAAGGGAAUGUUUUCCCAUAUUAUGGAGAAUUUUGUGAAAUGGUUCCAUGUGUUUGGAAGGGUGUAUCUUGUGGCAAGGGCUUAUAUGGGAGAGGUGUUCACAGAACAUAUGGAAGCAAUUAUUUGAUAAUAAAAUGGGGUAUGGCUUUUGUUAAGUUAGUGCAUACUCUCAAGUGGGCGAGGUGUGUCUUCAAUCCAGACAUUAAGUGUGAGCUCAUCUCUAGUAACAUAGGAGGGGUUUUCAACAACUGGUUCAGAGAUAUUAUGGACUUAUUGCUGAACUAGCCGACAAGAUUAGAGGGAUGAUCAUGGGUCUCUAGAGGACAAUGAGAAGGCUUGGAGGAAGACUGCCAUUUGGACCGAUCCUACUUAUGGGGGAAGAGGGAAAAUACUAGAGGUUUGGGGCACUUGAAAGUUGUGAAAUCUGUUAACUGGAGUGUAGAGAUUUGAUACAAUAGCAAAACUUAUUGAAAGGCAUAUUGGGAAGCUCAAUCAGAAGACGUGUAGUUUUUCCUUGAAGGGCAGCACACAUACAAGCGAUGUCAACAUGUCUUGCCUUUGUGUCAUCAUAAAAGGGAGUAGAUCUUGAACAAUUUAUGCAUAUGUGUACUAUGUGGGCAGAUUCAAGGAUGUUAUAUGGGACAGAGAUUGAGCCAAUGACAGAGAAAUCACGGUGGCCACGAGUGGAGCUGUCAUUUGAUGUGGUGCCACCAUUUCAAAACAGAAAUAAAGAACGACAAAAAAUGGAGGAUUCAAAGGAUGUGUUAAGGAGGUCACAAGGUGUCAAUGAUGAUAGCACUGGCCCCACAAAUGCCAAGGGGAAGAAAAUGAUUAGAUGCCUAGUGAUUUGCAAGAAAUUUGGUUAAAAGUAUCAUAGGCAAGCUAGUUACAAGUGUCCACUUAAUUGAAGCCAAAAAAGACAAUUGGCGUUCUUUCAUUCAAAGCUUGAAUUAUCACCUCAUGACAAAAGUUUAUUGUUUAAUUCAAGAAAGAGGAAGCCUAAAAGGAACAAUACAUAAGGUAUGCAAGGUGAAUCGAACACCCCACAAAGGCCAACUAGAGAACAGGUACUAUGGGACAGUUAUGCCAUGCACUAGAAGGCAAUCAACGAAUAGUUCUAUGUUUAGCAAUGUAAAAAAAAACAAUUUUCUUAUAUAUAAAUGCCAUAACAUAUAUGUACAACUGCCUUGCUUUAUUGCUAACAGAGGGUAUUUAUUCACAAACCAGCACAACUACUCCAGAGAGGAUACUAGCUGCAGCUCUAGCAAAGAAGAUGGCUACAAAGAGGAAGCUACAAAUUGGAUUAAAAAAUCUCCAUUAAAUUUACUAUUCAAGCUGUGCAUCCACAUGGGCUGCUCUUUUAAGCGUUAUCUUCAGUUGCCUAUAAAAAUGCAAAAGUACAUCACCUAUUGGUAUAUUAUUUACCAAUAUUAUUUGGUAUCACGGUUACAUGAAAUCCAUGAAAUUGAAUUGGGAUAUAUGAGAUGGCCUCCACGCUCACUAUACAUAUUAUAAAUUAGAAAGUAGUAUCAAAGCCUAAGUAUACUAAAACUCCAUGAUCCAUAGAAACCAUGGAUCGACAAUAUUUGUGAGACAACGCUAAGAAAUCAUAUGUGUUUUCGAAUGCAGAUAAACAUCCAACUGAUUUUGCAACAUGCUAGAAAAAAAAACAAUUUUAAUUGAAGAAUUCCACCAUACCUCCUUGCUUUCUCCUUCCACAAACAUAAGACUUCCAAUGCAUUGGCAUGUACGUCCUGCAUGGAUAUAACACCUGUUGAUUUGUUAAAUCUGUAAAAGCUAUUGAACUUCAUUCUUGUGCACAAUUAAACGCAAUGUCUAACAAAUGUUGACUUCCACCUGCCAA